Molecule: non-coding RNA, 100 nt
Organism: Vigna angularis (adzuki bean)
Lineage: Eukaryota; Viridiplantae; Streptophyta; Magnoliopsida; Fabales; Fabaceae
Source: Rfam
GGCAAAGAUGAAGAGUGCUUGAUUAUUCUGACACCUCUUGUAUGAGACGGAUCUUUGCUAAAGGUUUCGUCUUUGAGCACAGAAAGCAACUCUCUGAGUC